GAUGAACGCUGGCGGCGUGCUUAACACAUGCAAGUCGAACGGAAAGGCUCCUGCUUGCAGGGGUACUCGAGUGGCGAACGGGUGAGUAACACGUGGGUGAUCUGCCCUGCACUUCGGGAUAAGCCUGGGAAACUGGGUCUAAUACCGGAUAGGACCACAUUUUGGAUGGUGUGGUGGAAAGUUUUUCGGUGUGGGAUGAGCUCGCGGCCUAUCAGCUUGUUGGUGGGGUAAUGGCCUACCAAGGCGUCGACGGGUAGCCGGCCUGAGAGGGUGUACGGCCACAUUGUGACUGAGAGACGGCCCAGACUCCGACGGGAGGCAGCAGUGGGGAAUAUUGCACAAUGGGCGCAAGCCUGAUGCAGCGACGCCGCGUGGGGGAUGACGGCCUUCGGGUUGUAAACUCCUUUCGCUAGGGACGAAGCGUUUUUGUGACGGUACCUGGAGAAGAAGCACCGGCUAACUACGUG
This 467-nucleotide ribosomal RNA is filed under the name uncultured bacterium. RNAcentral's name for it is "partial 16S ribosomal RNA". It matches the Rfam family "Bacterial small subunit ribosomal RNA", at positions 28 to 507 of the family's 1533-position model. The record is from RNAcentral.